Molecule: non-coding RNA, 125 nt
Organism: Chelonoidis abingdonii (Abingdon island giant tortoise)
Lineage: Eukaryota; Metazoa; Chordata; Testudines; Testudinidae
Source: RefSeq, a predicted model, not a curated record
CCCGCCUGCUGCCACCAGGUGUCACGGAGUAUGGGGGAGUCCGGUCCGGCACCCCUCUUCCUGGGACCCACAGUGACGCUCAGCCAGCCAGUAAAACAGAAGGUUUAUUGGACAACAGGAACGCA